Molecule: long non-coding RNA, 397 nt
Organism: Syngnathoides biaculeatus (alligator pipefish)
Lineage: Eukaryota; Metazoa; Chordata; Actinopteri; Syngnathiformes; Syngnathidae
Exons: 3
Source: RefSeq, a predicted model, not a curated record
GCCACUCGCGCAUCUACCUGCACGACGAGCCUCCUUCUCAAAGCGCUAAGAGGUUUCCUGGCAUCGUCGCGCUCUGGACACGGCAAAGGCGGAGGAGAGCUUCCCGAGUUUAGCUCUGCUGCAAGGAGCGUGGAGAUGGAUGAGAACCAAAGGUGAAGGUAUGGGUGCACGUUCGAUCCACGAAAACUAUCUGCUUAAAGCCUUUGAUGGCGCUGCAACGAGAGGCGCCAGCCACAAGCGACCAGGAAAAAAACUCUCUCUUGUUCCAGCCAACAGGAUCGAUUGAUGGCAAGCUGCCUCUGUGUCUCCUGAUCUGAGAUCUUCCUCGCACUGCACUAGCGAACCGUUUGUCUUCAAUAGACGGAUCAUGAGGCGCCACCCCCCAUCCCCCUGCAAA